AAGAAAAAUGAGGGACAAGGACGUUUUGUUUUUGUUUUGUUUUUUACAACAAAAUGACAGGAACAUUUGACGUCAUAUAAAAUAAAGAUGAAAACUUAGACAACCUGCUUAUCAAGGACACAGAAAAACCCUUUAAAUAUUAAACUUAGGAGAUCAUGGGGAGGAUGGGAGUAACAUCUAAAUCCUCUCUGAGUGGCCUUUCAGCUUUUAUUGGUACCGGUUUUCCUUCACUGUGGAUCAAGUAAAUCUGUUAUCAGCUUCCGCCAACAUCUUUACAAGGGCAGGGCAGCGGUGUGUAUCGCUGAUGUAACAGUGCAUUCGGGAAGAAAAAAAAAAGCACAUAAACACACAUCAGGCCUCCAUCCUGUUCAGCCAGGUGCCAGUGUUCAAGAAGGCACCAAAGGAGAUUCACUUCACCUCCCAUGUUUGACGCCUCACCCCUUCGCUAUCGGCUCAAGAGGAAGCAGAAGGUCGGCGUGUUCGAGGUGACGGGAAGCAAGUCGGGGCUCAACACCGAUGGUCUCAGUCGGACAGGUCAUGCUGAACCUUGGAGAAAGAGAGCGUUUACAAAUACGUGAGAAUGUUUAAUAUGCCCACACCUACUGCAUAUGCAAAUGAACGCCACGGGUCACAGCACAGCCGUUUGUGAUGUUCGUGGGAGAAAUACAGAAUAGAGCUCGUGCUGACUGCAUGUUUUAGGAAAACAUAGAGUUUCUACAAAUGGUGACUCAAAUUCAUUUACACAUCUUUUUUUUUUUUUUUCCUUUUCAGUAAGGUUGGUUUUGUUGAUUUCAGCAUGUAUCACAUUGUCAUGUUUACAGCAGCCAAAGUGAAGCAUUUCAUUCUUCAAGAGCUGCUUCUUCUGCAUCAUUUUAACAUUAAAAUAAAAUGAAGAACUUAAAACAUUCAAAUUAUAAACAAAUAAUGAGCAUACUGUAUAAGUUUUAGGGGCCAAUAAAUGUAUAAGUGAAAUGUAGUAUAAAGCAGUUUAUAAAAUGUAAUAUAAAAUAAGCCUGGUAUUGUUUUAUUUUCAAAUGUUAUGCU
Molecule: long non-coding RNA, 1044 nt
Organism: Poecilia reticulata (guppy)
Lineage: Eukaryota; Metazoa; Chordata; Actinopteri; Cyprinodontiformes; Poeciliidae
Source: RefSeq, a predicted model, not a curated record